AUCAUAUAUCACUUAUAUUAUAUUAUAUUAUAUUAUAUUACAUUACAUUACAUAACGUUACAUUACAUUACAUUAUAUUGCAUUAUAUUAUAUCACAUCACAUCAUAUCACAACAUAUAUAUUAUAUAAUAUUAUAUGACAUUCUAUCACAUAUGAUAUUAUAUCACAUUAUAUAUAUCACAUCAUAUCAUAUCAUGUCAUGCUAUAUUAAAACUGUACUAAGGAAUAGAGAAAGGAUACUGACAGAAGUCUUAACAAGAUAAUGAUGAUGAAAUAAUAAUGAUGAUGAAAACUCCUGAUUCUCUCCAGAGUCUGACACAGCUGGAUUGUGAUUGGUCAUUAACUCAAAACAAUUCACUUGUUGGAUAAACAGUCUCCAACCUCACUCCAAAGCAGCAAAGCACAGGAGAAGCAAAUGGGACAAUGUUGGUUUCCUUUUNGAAAAAAGGGGAAAAUGAGGAAAACUGGUGGAAGAGACUGACACCCACCUGUCCCCAAGCUCCCUCCAGGAAGGUGUAGAGAGCAAUAAGGGCACCUCUGAGCCUCCUCUUCUCCAGGCUCCUGGUAAAACACCUCACAAAAGUGGCAUUUUACUAGAAAAAGAAGAGAACAAAGAACCUAAUGGCUUUGAGGUGAAGUCCUCCAGGCCUAUGAGGCGCCUUUUUCACCUAAUCAAGGAGAGAAACUUGUGGGUUUCUUUCCUUUUUAAGGGGACAAAGGAUGGUGACAGGGGACACAUUCCUACAUUGCUCCUGCCCCACUGUGCUGGUUGUUCUCCCUCCUUUCCCCCAGAGAAGUGCCUGUCCUGAGGACAGUGACACGUGAGUUUGAGGGGAAGUCCCCCAGGAUUCUGAGAUCCCUUUUCACCUCAUCAAGGAGAGAAACUUGUGGGUUUCUUUCCUUUUUAAGGGGACAAAGGAUAAGGGGGCACAUUCCUACAUUGCUCCUGCCCCACUGUGCUGGUUGUUCUUCCUCCUUUCCCCCAGAGAAGCACCUGAAGCUUAAAUUUGAGGUGAAUUCCUCCAGACCUGUGAGAUGCCUUUUUCACCUAAUAGAGGAGAGAAACUUUGGGGUUUCUUCCCUUUUUAAGGGGACAAAGGAUGGUUUUGUCACAAAGUGACAGGGUGCUGGUUGUUCUCCCCCCUUUCCCCCAGAGAAGUGCCUGUCCUGAGGACAGUGACACUUGAGUUUGAGGUGAAGUCCCUCAGGAUUCUGAGAUCCCUUUUCACCUCAUCAAGGAGAGAAACCUGUGGGGUUUUUUCCCUUUUCAAGGGGACAGAGAUGGUUGUGUCCCACGGCUCCGGCCCCACUGUGCUGUUG
Molecule: long non-coding RNA, 1320 nt
Filed under: Zonotrichia albicollis (white-throated sparrow)
Lineage: Eukaryota; Metazoa; Chordata; Aves; Passeriformes; Passerellidae
Description: lncRNA (ENSZALG00000008548.1)
Source: RNAcentral